AACUCUUUGUUGUGCUUAAAGACUAAAUCUGUCCCUGCUGUCUUCCCUCCUUUAAUAAAUCAAAAAAACACCUUGUGUUCUUGAAAACUGAGCACUACCCCACACCCGACCCCCACUGUAAACAUCCAUGAAAAAAAAUGCUGUUCACAUGCUUGAUAAUUUGGUCACAUCCUUUCUGUCCUUCGAAUGUAUUGAACAAGCCAAUGUCAUGCUGCUCCAACAUAUUCAGCUAAUUUCCCUUCAGACCUGGCCUUCAUAUUGGAUGCAUUUUCCACCAAUUUGACUUUUCGGAGAGAAACAAUUAUCCUGCACAAUGGGCAACAUUUGUAGUAGCUUUCAAGAUUUUAUUACUUUGUUUGGGACUUGGAGUGUUCAUUAUAAUAUGGCUUUA
Long non-coding RNA from Panicum virgatum (switchgrass), 391 nucleotides. RefSeq lists it as uncharacterized. Lineage: Eukaryota; Viridiplantae; Streptophyta; Magnoliopsida; Poales; Poaceae. The record is from RefSeq and is a predicted model, not a curated record. The transcript is spliced from 2 exons.